GCCAGAGUGGUGUAGUGGUUUGAACACUGGACUACGACUCUAGAGAGCAGGAUUCAAAUCCCUGCUUGGCU
Molecule: non-coding RNA, 71 nt
Organism: Phrynosoma platyrhinos (Desert horned lizard)
Lineage: Eukaryota; Metazoa; Chordata; Lepidosauria; Squamata; Phrynosomatidae
Source: the annotation of a GenBank genome assembly